GCGCUGGUAGCUCAGGGGUAGAGCAAGAGCCUUUUAAGCUCGUGGUCGUGGGUUCAAAUCCCACCCAGCGCACCA
This 75-nucleotide transfer RNA is filed under the name Patescibacteria group bacterium. Its description in RNAcentral is "tRNA-Lys". It matches the Rfam family "tRNA". From Rfam's summary of the family: Transfer RNA (tRNA) molecules are approximately 80 nucleotides in length. Their secondary structure includes four short double-helical elements and three loops (D, anti-codon, and T loops). Further hydrogen bonds mediate the characteristic L-shaped molecular structure. tRNAs have two regions of fundamental functional importance: the anti-codon, which is responsible for specific mRNA codon recognition, and the 3' end, to which the tRNAs corresponding amino acid is attached (by aminoacyl-tRNA synthetases). tRNAs cope with the degeneracy of the genetic code in two manners: having more than one tRNA (with a specific anti-codon) for a particular amino acid; and 'wobble' base-pairing, i.e. permitting non-standard base-pairing at the 3rd anti-codon position. The record is from RNAcentral. RNAcentral also lists the same sequence under 1 other name.